AGUCGAGCGAUGAGACUCCUACGGGAGCACAUCAGCGGCAGACGGGUGAGUAACACGUAGAUGACGUACCCUCAAGACGGGGAUAACGGAUGGAAACAUGCGCUAAUACCGGAUGACCUUACGAUGUCAGAAUGGUAAGGAAAGCUACGGCGCUUGAGGAGCGGUCUGCGGCCCAUCAGCUAGUUGGUAGGGUAAAGGCCUACCAAGGCGAAGACGGGUAGGGGGUGUGAGAGCACGGCCCCCCACAAUGGGACUGAGACACGGCCCAUACUCCUACGGGAGGCAGCAGCAGGGAAUAUUGCACAAUGGACGGAAGUCUGAUGCAGCGACGCCGCGUGAGUGAAGAAGGCCUUCGGGUUGUAAAACUCUUUUGAGGGGGAAGAGCGAGGACGGUACCCCUGGAAUAAGCGUCGGCUAACUACGUGCCAGCAGCCGCGGUAAGACGUAGGACGCGAGCGUUAUCCGGAUUUACUGGGCGUAAAGCGUCUGUAGGCGGAUGUGUAAGUUGGGCGUGACAGCUCCGGGCUUAACCCGGAGAGGCCGUUCAAUACUGCAUAACUUGAGGGUGUCAGAGGGGAGCGGCAUUCCCGGUGUAGCGGUCAAAUGCGCAGAGAUCGGGAGGAACACCAGUGGCGGAGGCGGUUCCCUGGGGCACACCUGACGCUGAG
Molecule: ribosomal RNA, 668 nt
Filed under: uncultured organism
Description: bacterial SSU rRNA
Rfam family: Bacterial small subunit ribosomal RNA
Source: RNAcentral